UGAGGCAGGAGAAUUGCUUGAACCCAGGAGGUGGAGGUUGCAGUGAGCCGAGAUCGCGCCACUGCACUCCAGCCUGGGCGACAGAGCGAGACUCCGUCUC
This is a microRNA precursor of Pan paniscus (pygmy chimpanzee), 100 nucleotides long. The record is from Ensembl. Lineage: Eukaryota; Metazoa; Chordata; Mammalia; Primates; Hominidae.